This 1459-nucleotide ribosomal RNA is filed under the name Lactiplantibacillus plantarum subsp. plantarum. RNAcentral's name for it is "bacterial SSU rRNA". It matches the Rfam family "Bacterial small subunit ribosomal RNA". Lineage: Bacteria; Bacillati; Bacillota; Bacilli; Lactobacillales; Lactobacillaceae. The record is from RNAcentral.
UGCUAUACAUGCAAGUCGAACGAACUCUGGUAUUGAUUGGUGCUUGCAUCAUGAUUUACAUUUGAGUGAGUGGCGAACUGGUGAGUAACACGUGGGAAACCUGCCCAGAAGCGGGGGAUAACACCUGGAAACAGAUGCUAAUACCGCAUAACAACUUGGACCGCAUGGUCCGAGCUUGAAAGAUGGCUUCGGCUAUCACUUUUGGAUGGUCCCGCGGCGUAUUAGCUAGAUGGUGGGGUAACGGCUCACCAUGGCAAUGAUACGUAGCCGACCUGAGAGGGUAAUCGGCCACAUUGGGACUGAGACACGGCCCAAACUCCUACGGGAGGCAGCAGUAGGGAAUCUUCCACAAUGGACGAAAGUCUGAUGGAGCAACGCCGCGUGAGUGAAGAAGGGUUUCGGCUCGUAAAACUCUGUUGUUAAAGAAGAACAUAUCUGAGAGUAACUGUUCAGGUAUUGACGGUAUUUAACCAGAAAGCCACGGCUAACUACGUGCCAGCAGCCGCGGUAAUACGUAGGUGGCAAGCGUUGUCCGGAUUUAUUGGGCGUAAAGCGAGCGCAGGCGGUUUUUUAAGUCUGAUGUGAAAGCCUUCGGCUCAACCGAAGAAGUGCAUCGGAAACUGGGAAACUUGAGUGCAGAAGAGGACAGUGGAACUCCAUGUGUAGCGGUGAAAUGCGUAGAUAUAUGGAAGAACACCAGUGGCGAAGGCGGCUGUCUGGUCUGUAACUGACGCUGAGGCUCGAAAGUAUGGGUAGCAAACAGGAUUAGAUACCCUGGUAGUCCAUACCGUAAACGAUGAAUGCUAAGUGUUGGAGGGUUUCCGCCCUUCAGUGCUGCAGCUAACGCAUUAAGCAUUCCGCCUGGGGAGUACGGCCGCAAGGCUGAAACUCAAAGGAAUUGACGGGGGCCCGCACAAGCGGUGGAGCAUGUGGUUUAAUUCGAAGCUACGCGAAGAACCUUACCAGGUCUUGACAUACUAUGCAAAUCUAAGAGAUUAGACGUUCCCUUCGGGGACAUGGAUACAGGUGGUGCAUGGUUGUCGUCAGCUCGUGUCGUGAGAUGUUGGGUUAAGUCCCGCAACGAGCGCAACCCUUAUUAUCAGUUGCCAGCAUUAAGUUGGGCACUCUGGUGAGACUGCCGGUGACAAACCGGAGGAAGGUGGGGAUGACGUCAAAUCAUCAUGCCCCUUAUGACCUGGGCUACACACGUGCUACAAUGGAUGGUACAACGAGUUGCGAACUCGCGAGAGUAAGCUAAUCUCUUAAAGCCAUUCUCAGUUCGGAUUGUAGGCUGCAACUCGCCUACAUGAAGUCGGAAUCGCUAGUAAUCGCGGAUCAGCAUGCCGCGGUGAAUACGUUCCCGGGCCUUGUACACACCGCCCGUCACACCAUGAGAGUUUGUAACACCCAAAGUCGGUGGGGUAACCUUUUAGGAACCAGCCGCCUAAGGUGACAGGUU